CUAGCGCUGUUCGGAAUUACUGGGCGUAAAGCGCGCGCAGGCGGCUAUCCAAGUCAGUGGUGAAAGCCCGGAGCUCAACUCCGGAACUGCCAUUGAAACUGUUUAGCUUGAGGAUGAGAGAGGUGAGUGGAAUUCCCAGUGUAGAGGUGAAAUUCGUAGAUAUCGGGAGGAACACCUGUGGCGAAAGCGGCUCACUGGACCACAACUGACGCUGAGGCGCGAAAGCUAGGGGAGCAAACAGG
RNAcentral lists this ribosomal RNA (242 nucleotides) under uncultured bacterium. RNAcentral's name for it is "partial 16S ribosomal RNA". It matches the Rfam family "Bacterial small subunit ribosomal RNA", at positions 535 to 776 of the family's 1533-position model. The record is from RNAcentral.